GCAAUCCAUGAGUAAAGUGGCGACCGGGUGAGUAACACGUGACUAACCUACCUCCGAGUGGGGAAUAACUCCGGGAAACCGGGGCUAAUACCGCAUAACAUCGCAAGAUCAAAGCAGCAAUGCGCUUGGAGAGGGGGUCGCGGCUGAUUAGCUAGUUGGCGGGGUAACGGCCCACCAAGGCGAAGAUCGGUAUCCGGCCUGAGAGGGCGCACGGACACACUGGAACUGAAACACGGUCCAGACUCCUACGGGAGGCAGCAGUGGGGAAUUUUGCGCAAUGGGGGAAACCCUGACGCAGCAACGCCGCGUGGAGGAUGAAGCCCUUUGGGGCGUAAACUCCUUUCGACUCGGACGAUAAUGACGGUACGAGUGGAAGAAGCACCGGCUAACUCUGUGCCAGCAGCCGCGGUAAUACAGAGGGUGCAAGCGUUGUUCGGAAUUAUUGGGCGUAAAGGGCGCGUAGGCGGUGCGGUAAGUCACCUGUGAAAUCUC
This 492-nucleotide ribosomal RNA is filed under the name uncultured bacterium. RNAcentral describes it as "bacterial SSU rRNA". It matches the Rfam family "Bacterial small subunit ribosomal RNA", at positions 79 to 603 of the family's 1533-position model. The record is from RNAcentral.